RNAcentral lists this unclassified non-coding RNA (224 nucleotides) under uncultured Russula. Its description in RNAcentral is "sequence contains ITS1". Lineage: Eukaryota; Fungi; Basidiomycota; Agaricomycetes; Russulales; Russulaceae. The record is from RNAcentral.
UCGUAUAACUGAGGCGUUAGGUGGUUGUCGCUGACUUUUGAAAAAGGGUCGUGCACGCCCCUGCGCUCUCGUGCAUCCAUCUCACCCCUUUUGUGCAUCACCGCGUGAGGCCCCCCCUCUUUUUGAAAAAUAAAAAGGGAGGGUUCACGUUUUUAUUUUAUACAAACACCUUUUUAAUGCAUGUCUAGAAUGUCUUUACUUUUUGCGCUCAUACGCAAUCAAUA